This 16192-nucleotide long non-coding RNA is filed under the name Zea mays. RNAcentral's name for it is "long non-coding RNA (ZMAY_LNC005908)". The record is from RNAcentral. Lineage: Eukaryota; Viridiplantae; Streptophyta; Magnoliopsida; Poales; Poaceae.
AACUUUUCAAAAGAAUCCAAAAGAUACAAACCUGAAUUUCUAUAUUAGAACAAAUUUUCCAUUUGCACCCCUCUACUAGGAGGUUAACUGAGUUUCAAUUAGAGCAAAUUUUCCCUUUACACCUUUGCUAGGAGGUUAACGCCUGAAUGCAUGAAUUUUUCUUGUUUCCUAUGUUUUUUCUAUAAAAAUGAACUGAUUCAUGUAUAAUUCUUGUAAAAUUCCUCUAAAAUUACUGCAUUACAAAGGACGUAAACGUUAUAAAGUAGCUCUCAGGGUCAUAAGCCGCAGUGACUUAGGCCCCCUUUGGCAGGGCUUUAGCUUUUAGAAAAAUAGAUUUGGCUCUAGCUUCUUCAUGCGAGCAGCUUUUUUGGGAGAGCCAAAGCCAUUUUCAAAAAUCGUUUGGUAACACAGCUUCUGUACUGUUUUACAAAAUAAACCUUUGAUAGUUUUUUAAUAUAUUGUAGUAUUGUUGCCCCGCUGGUUUGCUCGUACGCAGAUACACAAGUUGAUAACGUACACGAUAUGCAUCAAAUAAAUUAACAUAAUAGUAUAUAACAACGAUUAAUUAAUGUCAUCCACAUAUGAACUAGAAAUUGUAAAAUAUUCAGUUAAAAGUGACGAUGAUCCAUUAUAUACAAAUAUGUAUGUAUACAAAAUUCACGCUGAUCUAGAAAGAAAGACUGCCCUAGCAAUAUCAUCCCGGAAUCUGUCCAUGGUUCGAUCAUUUGAUUGUGUUGUCGAUGUAUCCGAUGCAUUUUGCGAUGGCUGAAAUCUAGCAUACCUAUCUGGAAUUGUGGGCACAUAAUCAGGAUUCCGAUCACACUUCACAAAAUCCAAAUCUAAAGCAUGGUUCUCUCGAAUGUAGUUAUGCAAACACAUUGUCGCUGCCACAAUCAUUUUUUGAACUCCCAUUUUGUAAGACGGCAUUUUCAGUAGCACUCUCCACUUCAUUUUCCAGACUCCAAAUGCUCGCUCCACAACAUUACGAAUACUUGAAUGCAAAUGGUUAAAGUGCUCUUGCUCACCAUUUGGAGCUGGUCCUCUCCUCCAGUCAGGUACAUGGUACCUUUGACCUUUAUAUGGUGCCAAGUACCCAGGUCGAUUUGGAUAUCCUGCGUCGACACAAUAAUAUUUCCCUACAAUUAAACGAAUAACAUGAUAAAAAAUUAGAGUCUUACUACAAAUGUUGAAAAGUAGUAUACUAUUAAUACAUACCUGCAGGAGGGUGUGGAAAAUUUUCUGUAUCAUUCCUCAAUGCAUGGAAUAGGACAUUUGUGUCGUGCAUAGACCCAGGUUGGCCUAUAGAUGCAUACGUAAAUCUCAUGUCAAAAUCAACUACAGCCAUCACAUUUUGAGUUGCUUUACCAGUUCUCCCAAUGUAUCUAAUAACAUCUUCUACCGGCGGUGUGGCAUUAAUAUGGGUACCAUCUAAUGCUCCAAUGCAAUCUUUGAAAUGAGGCAUCAUCCUUCGAUCACCAGCAAUUCGACUAUGUACAGUGGAAAAUUUUGGAUCAAUUGGUCUGAUGUAGUCCUUGCACAUACACACCACACACUGAAGUACUUCAUGAAACUUCCUGCUAAUAGUCUCCCCCGAAUGUCUGAAUAUAUUUGUUAAAGCGCUGUUUGACCAACCAUGGCCACAAGUGACAAGAAAAAUAGCUAGCGACUCCAUAGAACUCAUAUGUAUAGAUGAUUUCAGACCAUACGAACUCUCUAGCAAAUCAUGCAAACUAUAAAACAGCGAACUAUUCAUUCGAAACAUGUUAUGACUUGAUCCAGGUGUUUUUAAGGUGUCCAUCAGCCAACCAUAUCCAGUUUGUCCAGCUGUCCUAGCCUCAUUUUUAUCAUAGUACUUGAAAUAAUAAUUAGAAGCAAAACGAGCAGCACAAAGUAGGCUGUAUUGUGCACAUUGUACCAAUGGAAUAACUUGCCCAAUAAUAUUAUCAUCGUCAGAAUCACUGUCUGUAGUAUCAGAACUAGAAGUAAAUUGACCAUCAUCUGUAUCCAAAAAAAAUCAUUCAGGUCGACACCAUCAUCAACAUCAUCACUGCAAUUUAAAGAAUACAACGUUCGAACAAUCAUUAACGACAUUAUUAUUAUAAUCACCCCAACAGAAAUAGUUUGAACAAAUGCUUUCAUUAUUACAAUAUCCAAAUAUAAAUGCAAGGCAAAAUAUUAUUUCUAAAUAGGCAACUAAUUUCUCCUAGUCACAUCAUUUCUUGUCAUCCAUUCCUGCUUGCUCUUUAACCACAGAAACCUAUCUUCAGGAGUAUCCAGAGUCAUGAACAUCUCUCUUUCCGAUCUUUUAGUAAACACUAUAGAGGCGAUGAAAUGCUCUUUUGUGCCAACAGUGGCACCACAUUCCUUUACCAAUGUCAUAACUUGUUGGAUCGAGCAUCCAUAUGUAUCCUCCCUCCUAGCAAUGGACUCACAAGUCUCUGUGGUUCUUUUUGUCAUCUCAAGUAUUUGAUCGAAACCAUCAGAAACCCAACUUCCUUUACCACUCCUUGCUCGUUUACCUUUGUUAUUGGCAGGGAUUCGUGGCCUCUUUACUUUACCACUACUAGGGGUGAUCUCCUCAGGCUCACUAUCAUCCUCAUUGGUAGGUUCAAAUUCCACAUCAAUAUUUAUAGGUGAUUGGUCUACAUUUUGUUGAGUUGGUGGAAUACCACUGGAUGCACUCCAAUGGUCAUCACCAGUGUUGCGUAGAUCUUCGAACAUAGUAGCUAAAUGGUCCUCAUUCUGCAGCCCUCUAGUCUUAAAUCUAGUUGAUCCUUUAAUAGCCUGCAUUUUUAUCAAUUAAACAAAUAUUAACCAAACUAGGUUGCAACAUGAUUACAAUUAAUAUGGUACACACUAAAAUAAGGAACUCACUUUUGCCAUCUUUUUCCACCAAUCUUCAGGCAUGUCAAUAUUUUUACCACUACCAUCCCAACCUAAACCAGUCUGUCUUGUUAAUUGCUUCCAAAUCCCGUAAUCAAUUUUCAAUCUGUCCCAUUUGUUCUUAAAUUGUUUACGGGUGUACACAACUCCUGUCCUUUCUUUGAAUUUCUGAAUCACAUUUUGGUAACCGGCUUUGUUCAAAUGAGUGCUUGAACGAUUUCCGAUGAGGACUUCGUCAGCAAAAAUUUCACAUGCUAUCCUAGUAUACUCAUCACACCAAGUGGCCAUACUGUAUACAAAAAAUUUGACAGAUGAACAUAACAUCACAGACAACCAAAUUACACGAUAACAUACAAUAUAUGAAACUCUGUAACUGUCGGCGUUUCGAGACAGGGGGGUCCCAAAGCCGACAAGUGAGUGUGCUGCGUGCCCCAGCCCAGAUGGGUCGAGCGCGUGGGCGAGCGCGAAGGGGGGAGAGGCGAGGUGGCCGGAGUCGAGCGUGAGAGAGGUGGAAGUCCCGCGGCCUUCGUGUUCAUCCCGCGCCCAGGUCGGGUGCGCUUGCAGUAGGGGGGUUACAAGCGUCCACGCGGGUGAGGGAAGUGAGCGGCCCCAAGAGAGCGCCUGUCCCGUCCUCGGUCCCACGCGGCCAACCUUCUCUAAGAAGGCCCUGGUCCUCCCUUUUAUAGUCGUAAGGAGAGGAUCCAGGUGUACAAUGGGGGGUGUAGCAGAGUGCUACGUGUCUAGCGGAGAGAGAGCUAGCGCCCUAGGUACAUGCCAAUGUGGCAGCCGGAGAGGUCUUGGCACCUUGCUGGCGUGAUGUCGUGGCUGUCGGAGGUGCGACGGAGCCUGGCGGAGGGACAGCUGUUGGAGCGGUCGAGUCCUUGCUGACGUCGCCCUGCUUCCGUAAGAGAGCUGGGGGCCGCCGUCGUCACAGAGCUUGUGGAGCGCCAUCAUUGCCCAUCCGGCGGAGCUGGCCGGAUGGGACGCCGGUCUUGUUCUCCGUGACCCGAGUCGAUUCGGGGUAGGACGAUGAUGGCGCUUCCUGUUGACGUGGCGAGUCUGUGCCCUAGGCAGGGUGACGUGGGGGCUCCUCCGAAGCCGAGGUUGAGUCUGUCUUCUGUUGCCGAGGCCGAGUCCAAGCCAUGGGGUCGGGCGAGGCGGAGGUCGUUCGGCCGAGGCCAGGGCGGAGUCCGAGCCCUGGGGUCGGGCGGAGCGGAGUUCGCCGUCUUCCGGGUCUUAGCCCGAGUCCGAGCCCUGGGGUCGGGCGAGGCGGAGGUCGUUCGGCCGAGGCCAGGGCGGAGUCCGAGCCCUGGGGUCGGGCGAGGCGGAGUUUCGUCGUCUUCCGGGUCUUAGCCCGAGUCCGAGCCCUGGGGUCGGGCGGAGCGGAGUUCGCCGUCUUCCGGGUCUUAGCCCGAGUCCGAGCCCUGGGGUCGGGCGGAGCGGAGUUCGCCGUCUUCCGGGUCUUAGCCCGAGUCCGAGCCCUGGGGUCAGGCGGAGCGGAGUUCGCCGUCUUCCGGGUCUUAGCCCGAGUCCGAGCCCUGGGGUCGGGCGGAGUGGAGUUCGCCGUGGCGCCUUUGGCAAGGCCUGACUGUCUGUCAGACUCACUCUGUCGAGUGGCACCGCAGUCGGAGUGGCGCAGGCGGCGCUGUCCUUCUGUCAGACUGGUCAGUGGAGCGGUGGAGUGACGGCGGUCACGUCGGCUCUGCCGGGGGGGGCGCGUGUCAGGAUAAAGGUGUCAGGCCACCUUUGCGUUAAAUGCUCCUGCAACUCGGUCAGUCGGUGUGGCGAUUUAGUCAGGGUUGCUUCUGAGCGAAGCCAAGGCCUCGGGCGAGCCGGUGAUGUGUCCGCCGUAAAAAGGGGGGCCUCGGGCAAGACGGAAGUCUCUCGAGGUCGGCUGCCCUUGGCCGAGGCUAGGCUCGGGUGAAGCGUGAUCGAGUCACUCAUGCGGACUGAUCCCUGACUUAAUCGUACCCAUCAGGCCUUUGCAGCUUUAUGCUGAUGGGGGUUACCAGCUGAGAAUUAGGCGUCUUGAGGGUACCCCUAAUUAUGGUCCCCGACAGUAGCCCCCGAGCCUCGAAGGGAGUGUUAGCACUCGCUUGGAGGCUUUCGUCGCACUUUUUUGCAAGGGGACCAGCCUUUCUCGGUUGCAUUUUGUUCCGGUGGGUGCGCGCGAGCGCACCCGCCGGGUGUAGCCCCCGAGGCCUCGGAGGAGUGGUUACACUCCUUCGAGGUCUUAAUACCUUGCGUAAUGCUUCGGCUGGUCUGGUCAUUCCCUCAUGCGAACUGGCCGUAGCCCGGGUGCACGGUCGGGGCCCAAGCUCUCGGGCUGGUAUGUUGACGCUGUCAACGGUUUGGCCGGAGCCGGUUUUUGCGAGAGCAGCCCCCGAGCCUCUGCACAGGGCGAGAGGACGAUCAGGGACAGACUCGACUUUUUACAUACGCCCCUACGUCGCCUUUCCGCAAGGAGGAGGGGGGAGUGCGCCAUGUUACCCUCGAUGGGCACCGAACAUGGUGUCUCCGGUGAGCUGCAAGCGGGUAAUCCGAGUGGACGUCCGUGCCCCAUUCGUUGGGGGUCGGCUAGGGGCCCAGAGGCACGCCCAAAAGUACCUGCGGGUGAUUUGCCAGACCCGGUCCCCUGGCGACGGGGUCCGAGGGCUCGAUGCCUCCCUCCGAUGGGAUUCCGUUACAAGAUCGUUCCCGCUGGUCUCGGAAAUGUCCUAGGGUACCUCGGGAGCGCAGCCCGAGCCUCGGUUAUGUAUCGAACGUACCCCUGGUCAUCCCUCGCUCGGUGUCUGAGGCGACUGUGAACCCUUCGGGGGCCAGCCUUCGAACCCCUGAUCAGUAAUGGGCGCGGAGCCCGAGUAGCCUGAGGCGGCCAUGGAACCCUUCGGGGGGCUGGCCUUCGAACCCCUGACCAGUAGUGGGUGUCGGGCCCACGCGAUCUGAGGCGACUGUUGAACCCUUCGGAGGGCCAGUCUUCGAACCCCUGAUCAGUAGGGGGGGGCUCGGAGCCCGGUUCCUUCGCGGAGAAGGAUCCUUUUCGGGGUAUCCCCCUUUCCCGGUCCCUGUUGCAAGAGAUAGAGAAAGAGAAAAAAGGAAAGGGAUACGAAAUCGAACAACGUGGCGUACCUCUUUUUGACGCGGUUAUUACGGCGAAGGUGAAGCGUCGCGCGCUUCUCCCGCCAGAGGCACCGUGUGUCCCACCGCGGAGUUAAUGCGACGGGGCGAGUGGUUGGCGGGGUGGCCGUUACGCGUGCGCGAGCCGUUUGAGGAACGGCUGUACCGCUUCGCGCUUUUUGAAUCCCGCGUCCGGUCUAGGCGGUGUGCUGGAAACGGUUUCGCCCUGGCCUUCAUAUACUUGAGAGGGGGUCCGGUGACGGUUCUUCGCUCUGCUCCCUUCUUUUCCCUUUAGGUUUUUGCAACCCGGGAAACUUUAGUCGGAGAAGAGAGAAACCGCUCUCCCUGCCCCCCGCGCCACCAUCUUCUCCAUUUUGGUGAUGGCGGAUCGAGUGACCAUAAUCCCCCCGCGCGAUCCGUGGCCCUUCUCCACGGUGACGGCGAGUGAUCUGGAGGAGCUGGUCGGUGAAGGUUUGCUCCGCCCCCUCACCGACAAGCAGCGGCCGGCUAGCCCGACCCUCCCUUGACGACUAAACUUUGCGUAGGUGCGAGGUAUAUGAACAACUUGGAAACAUCUUAAGGGUAGAAGCGACGUAGCUGUUUGAUGUUCCAGGCGUUGCCGUAGAUCUCGCCUUGAUUGUUGGCCAGCUUGUAUGUUCCGGGCUUCAGAACUUUGGCGAUGACGAAUGGCCCUUCCCAGGGGGGCGUGAGCUUGUGCCUCCCUCGGGCGUCUUGCCGCAGCCGAAGCACCAGAUCGCCCACCUGGAGGUCUCGGGACCGGACCCCUCGGGCGUGGUAGCGUCGCAGGGACUGCUGGUACCGCGCCGAGUGUAGUAAGGCCCUGUCCCGAGCCUCCUCCAGCUGGUCCAGCGAUUCUUCUCGGCUAGCUUGGUUGCUUUGAUUGGUGUAGGCCCUCGUCCUCGGGGAGCCGUAUUCCAGGUCAGUGGGCAAGAUAGCUUCAGCCCCGUAGACCAGGAAAAACGGCGUGAAACCCGUGGCACGACUCGGCGUCGUCCUUAGGCUCCAGACCACCGAGGGGAGUUCCUUCAUCCACCGCUUGCCGAACUUGUUGAGGUCGUUGUAGAUCCGAGGCUUGAGCCCUUGUAGAAUCAUGCCGUUGGCACGCUCUACUUGCCCAUUCGACAUGGGAUGAGCCACGACGGCCCAGUCCACCCGGAUAUGGUGAUCCUCGCAAAAAUCCAAGAAUUUUUUGCCGGUGAACUGGGUGUCGUUGUCGGUGAUGAUGGAGUUCGGGACCCCGAAGCGAUGGAUGAUGUUGGUGAAGAACGCCACCGCCUGCUCGGACCUGAUGCUGUUCAGAGGUCGGACCUCGAUCCACUUGGACAAUUUGUCGAUGGCGACCAGCAGGUGCGUGUAGCCCCCGGGCGCCUUCUGCAAGGGACCGACGAGGUCCAGACCCCAUACAGCGAAGGGCCAGGUGAUGGGUAUUGUCUGCAGAGCCUGAGUGGGUAGGUGGGUCUGCUUUGCAUAGAAUUGGCACCCUUCGCAGGUGCGGACAAUUCUAGUGGCGUCAUCCACCGCCGUUGGCCAGUAGAAGCCUUGCCGGAAAGCAUUCCCGACAAGGCCUCGGGGCGCUGCGUGGUGGCCGCAAGCCCCCGAGUGUAUUUCUUGCAGCAGUUCCCAACCUUCGGCGAUGGAGAUGCAUCGCUGGAGGAUGCCCGAGGGGCUGCGAUGGUAGAGCUCCUCUUCAUUGCCCAGCAAGACGAACGACUUGGCGCGUCGCGCUACCCGCCGAGCCUCGACUUGGUCGGGGGGUAGCUCUCCUCGACGGAGAUAUUGCAGGUACGGGGCCUGCCAAUCUCGAUCUGGCGUGGCCCCGCUCUGCUCUUCCUCGACGUCCAGUGCCUCGCCCUCGGGGGCCGAGGGUACCUCGGGCUGAGCCGAGGGUGCCUCGGGCCGAGCUGAGGGCGCUUCGGCUUGAGCCGAGGGUGCCUCGGGCUCGGGCGCGUCGUCGAUCUUGACAGAGGGUCGAUGCAGAUCCCGGGAGAAGACGUCCGGGGGGACCGUCGUUCGCCCCGAGGCUAUUUUAGCCAACUCGUCUGCGGUUUCGUUGUAGCGCCGAGCGAUGUGGUUGAGCUCGAGCCCGAAGAACUUGUCUUCCAGGCGCCGAACCUAGUCGCAGUAGGCCUCCAUCUUCGGGUCGCGGCAGUGGGAGUUCUUCAUGACUUGGUCGAUGACGAGCUGCGAAUCGCCGCGGGCGUCGAGGCGUCUGACCCCUAGCUCGAUGGCGAUCCGCAACCCGUUGACCAGAGCUUCGUACUCGGCCACAUUGUUGGACGCCGGGAAAUGGAGGCGCAGCACGUAGCGCAGGUGCUUUCCAAGGGGCGAGAUGAAGAGCAGGCCCGCGCCGGCUCCUAUCUUCAUCAGCGACCCGUCGAAAAACAUGGUCCAGAGCUCCGGUUGGAUCGGAGCCGUCGGCAACUGGGUGUCAACCCAUUCGGCCACGAAGUCCGCCAACACCUGGGACUUGAUGGCCCUCCGAGGGGCGAACAAGAUCGUUUCGCCCAUGAUUUCCACCGCCCACUUUGCGAUCCUGCCCGAGGCCUCUCGGCACUGGAUGAUCUCCCCCAGGGGGAAGGAUGACACCACAGUUACCGGAUGAGACUCGAAGUAGUGUCGCAGCUUCCGCCUUGUCAGGAUCACAGCAUACAGCAGCUUUUGAACUUGUGGGUAGCGGAUCUUGGUCUCGGACAGUACUUCGCUGACGAAGUAGACCGGCCUCUGAACGGGCAAUGCAUGCCCUUCCUCUUGCCUCUCGACCACAAUUGCGGCGCUAACCACCUGAGUGGUCGCGGUGACGUAGACCAAGAGGGCUUCUCCAUCCGCCGGGGGCACCAAGACAGGCGCCUUUGUAAGGAGCGCCUUCAGGUUCCCGAGGGCUUCCUCGGCCUCAGGGGUCCAAGCGAAACACUCGGCCUUCCUUAAGAGGCGGUACAGAGGCAGACCUCUUUCGCCGAGGCGUGAGAUGAAGCGGCUCAGGGCCGCGAGGCAUCCCAUGACCCUCUGUACACCUUUUAAGUCCUUGAUGGGUCCCAUGCUGGUGAUGGCCGCGAUCUUCUCCGGGUUGGCUUCAAUGCCUCGCUCGGAGACGAUGAACCCUAGGAGCAUGCCUCGGGGCACCCCGAAGACACACUUCUCCGGAUUGAGCCUGACUCCUUUCGCCUUGAGACAUCGGAAUGUCACUUCAAGGUCGGAGAGGAGGUCGGAAGCCUUCCUUGUCUUGACUAUGAUGUCAUCGACGUAGGCCUCGACUGUGCGACCGAUGUGUUCGCUGAACACAUGGUUCAUGCACCGCUGGUACGUCGCGCCCGCGUUCCUCAAACCGAACGGCAUGGUGACAUAGCAGUACAUGCCGAACGGCGUGAUGAAAGAAGUCGCGAGCUGGUCGGACUCUUUCAUCCGGAUCUGGUGAUACCCUGAGUAGGCAUCGAGGAAGGACAGGGUUUCGCACCCAGCGGUGGAAUCCACGAUUUGAUCGAUGCGAGGCAGAGGGUAGGGAACCUUCGGACAUGCUUUGUUGAGACCAGUGUAGUCUACACACAUCCGCCAUUUCCCCCCUUUCUUCCUCACAAGCACAGGGUUGGCAAGCCAUUCGGGAUGGAAUACCUCUUUGAUGAACCCUGCUGCCAUUAGCUUGUGGAUCUCUUCGCCAAUCACUCUGCGCUUCUCCUCAUCGAAUCGGCGCAGAGGCUGCCUGAUGGGUCGGGCUCCGGCCCGAAUAUCCAGCGAGUGCUCGGCGACAUCCCUCGGUAUGCCGGGCAUGUCCGAGGGACUCCACGCAAAGACGUCGGCGUUUGCGCGGAGAAAGUCGACGAGCACUGCUUCCUAUUUGGGGUCGAGCCCGGAACCGAUCCGAAUCUGCUUGGUGGUGUCGCCACUGGGGUCAAGAGGGACGGCCUUAACCGUCUCCGCCGGCUCGAAGUUGCCGGCAUGGCGCUUCACGUCUGGCACCUCCUUGGAGAGGUUCUCCAGGUCGGCGAUGAGGGCCUCGGACUCGGCGAGGGCCUCGGCGUACUCCACGCACUCCACGUCGCAUUCGAACGCGUGUUUGUACGUGGGGCCGACGGUGAUGACCCCGUUGGGGCCCGACAUCUUGAGCUUCAGGUAGGUGUAGUUGGGGACGGCCAUGAACUUCGCGUAGCAUGGCCUCCCUAGUACGGCGUGGUAGGUUCCUCGGAACCCGACCACCUCGAACGUCAGGGUCUCCCUUCGGAAGUUGGAGGGCGUCCCGAAGCAGACGGGGAGGUCGAGUCGCCCGAGGGGCUGGACGCGCUUCCCAGGGAUGAUCCCGUGGAAGGGCGCAGUGCCUGCUCGGACGGAGGACAGAUCGAUGCGCAGGAGCUUGAGGGUCUCGGCGUAGAUGAUGUUGAGGCAGCUGCCCCCAUCCAUCAGGACCUUGGUGAGCCUGACAUUGCCGACAACGGGGUCGACGACGAGCGGGUAUUUCCCCGGGCUCGGCACAUGGUCGGGGUGGUCGGCCUGGUCGAAGGUGAUGGGCUUGUCGGACCAGUCUAGGUAGACUGGCGCCGCCACCUUCACCGAGCAGACCUCCCGGCGCUCUUGCUUGCGAUGCCGAGCCAAGGCAUUCGCCGCAUGUCCUCCAUAGAUCAUGAAGCAGUCGCGGACCUCGGGGAACUCUCCUGCUUGGUGAUCUUCGUUCUUGUCGCCGUCGCGGGCCCUGCCACCCUCGGCGGGUGGCCCGGCCCUGAGGAAGUGACGCCGAAGCAUAACGCACUCCUCGAGGGUGUGCUUGACGGGCCCCUGAUGGUAGGGGCACGGCUCCUUGAGCAUCUUGUCGAAGAGGUUUGCACCUCCGGGGGGCUUCCGAGGGUUCUUGUACUCGGCGGCGGCGACAAGGUCCGCGUCAGCGGCGUCGCGUUUCGAUUGCGACUUCUUCUUACCUUUCUUCUUGGCGCCGCGCGGAGCAGACGCCUCGGGAGCCUCUUCCGAUGGGCGGCCCUGGGGCUGCUUGUCCUUUCGGAAGAUAGCCUCGACCGCCUCCUGGCCAGAGGCAAACUUGGUGGCGAUGUCCAUCAGCUCGCUCGCCCUGGUGGGGGUCUUGCGACCCAGCUUGCUCACCAGGUCGCGGCAAGUGGUGCCGGCGAGGAACGCGCCGAUGACAUCCGAGUCGGUGAUGUUGGGCAGCUCGGUGCGCUGCUUCGAGAAUCGCCGGAUGUAGUCCCGGAGCGACUCCCCCGGCUGUUGCCGGCAGCUUCGAAGGUCCCAGGAAUUCCCGGGGCGCACGUAUGUGCCCUGGAAAUUGCCAGCGAAGGCUUGGACCAAGUCGUCCCAGUUGGAGAUCUGCCCCGGAGGCAGGUGCUCCAACCAGGCGCGAGCAGUGUCGGAGAGGAACAGGGGGAGAUUACGGAUGAUGAGGUUGUCGUCGUCCGUCCCACCCAGUUGGCAGGCAAGGCGGUAGUCCGCGAGCCACAGUUCCGGUCUCAUUUCCCCCGAGUACUUCGUGAUAGUAGUCGGGGGUCGGAACCGGGUCGGGAAUGGCGCCCGUCGUAUGGCCCGACUGAAGGCCUGCGGACCGGGUGGUUCGGGCGAGGGACUCCGAUCCUCCCCGCUGUCGUAGCGCCCCCCACGCCUGGGGUGGUAGCCUCGGCGCACCCUUUCGUCGAGGUGGGCCCGACGGUCGCGUCGAUGGUGCUCGUUGCCGAGGUGGCCCGGGGCCGCAGGCGCGGUGUUGCGCGUGCGCACGGUGUAGACCGAGGCUUCCCGCAUGAAUCGGGAAGCCGCGGCAUGAGGUUCCGAGGGAUAUCCCUGCCUUCGGGAGGCAGUGCUCUCGGCCCGUCGGGCCGCAGUGCCUUCCAGGAGAUUCUUGAGCUCUCCCUGGAUUCGCCGACCCUCGGUGGUUGAUGGCUCCGGCAUCGCGCGGAGGAGCAUCGCUGCGGCUGCCAGGUUCUGACCAACCCCGCUGGAUGCGGGCGGCGGCCUGACCCUGACAUCGUUGGCGACGCGGUGCUGGAGACCUUGGGGCAGGUGACGUAUUUCUCCGGCCAGGGGUUGGCCCGCCCAUACCUGCCCGACGUCCCGACGGAUCAGCUCAAGCGCUCCUGUUCCCUCGUUGAGCCUGGCCUGCGCCUCGCGGACUUGCUCGAGUUGUGGGUCGUAACCCCCCGCCGGAGCGGGGACCACAGCUAGCUCCCGUGGGAUGUCGGCGCGAGGCACCGGCCUAGGAAGAUCACCGUCCUCCGGCAUGCCGAGAUGGUUGCCUUCGGAGGGAUCCCCUAGCUCGAUGUGGAAACAUUCGCGGCUUGGGCCGCAGCUCUCGUCGCCAAGGCUGCGGCUUCCGUCGGAACAGUCGGAUAGGCAGUAGUCACAUGCGGUCAUGAAGUCCCGCAUGGCACUGGGGUUGCCAAGUCCGGAGAAAUCCCAACAGACGCUGGGAUCGUCAUCUUCCUCGGACCCAGAGGGCCCGUAGGUCGAGACGUCCGUCAGCCGGUCCCAAGGCGACCGUAUACGAAACCCCAGUGGGGUUGCACUCGCCUCAAUGAGAGCGCCCGCUAAAGCGAGGUCGUUUGGCGGGUUGAGGCCGAGUCGAAAUGACGUAAGAUGGGAGUUAGUCGGUACCUUUUGGUCGACGAGGAGCGACGUAGUCACAUCGGGGACUGGUUGCACCGUCAUCUCAGGUACGAGGGCGACGUCCUGCAGGCUUUCCGCGAGCGCGCCGGCGUUGUCUUCUUGCUCGGGGUCAGCGUGUCGCGGGGGGACGGCGCUUGCCUUCGUCUUGAACGCGAGGUCGACGUCCGGCGUGCCUUCCGUCGGGGCGUCGGGGGCGUCGAUUCGCUCGACGGCCAACGAAGCGUGGCCUCCCGCUUGGCCUUGAUGGCCCCGCCUCCUCCUCCGUUGGCGGGGGAGAGAACGGAGCGAGCUCGAAUGUUGCUCUUCCACCACGCGGGGAAGAUGUCGUCGAUUCCGCCGCCGGCGGGCGGGUUGUCGGCCGCCAUUGUCGUUGUCGCGCGGCGGUGGAAGAAGUAUCAUGUCGUAGCUGCCGUCGAAGGACAUGAACUCAAGAGUCCCGAAACGAAGCACCGCCCCGGGCCGGAGACGUUGCUGGAGACUGCCCAUCUGGAGCUUGACGGGGAGCUGUUCGUCAGCACGCAGCAGGCCCCUACCUGGCGCGCCAACUGUCGGCGUUUCGAGACAGGGGGGUCCCAAAGCCGACGAGUGAGUGUGCUGCGUGCCCCAGCCCAGAUGGGUCGAGCGCGUGGGCGAGCGCGAAGGGGGGAGAGGCGAUGUGGCCGGAGUCGAGCGUGAGAGAGGUGGAAGUCCCGCGGCCUUCGUGUUCGUCCCGCGCCCAGGUCGGGUGCGCUUGCAGUAGGGGGGUUACAAGCGUCCACGCGGGUGAGGGAAGCGAGCGGCCCCAAGAGAGCGCCUGUCCCGUCCUCGGUCCCGCGCGGCCAACCUUCUCUAAGAAGGCCCUGGUCCUCCCUUUUAUAGUCGUAAGGAGAGGAUCCAGGUGUACAAUGGGGGUGUAGCAGAGUGCUACGUGUCUAGCGGAGAGAGAGCUAGCGCCCUAGGUACAUACCAUUGUGGCAGCCGGAGAGGUCUUGGCACCUUGCUGGCGUGAUGUCGUGGCUGUCGGAGGUGCGACGGAGCCUGGCGGAGGGACAGCUGUUGGAGCGGUCGAGUCCUUGCUGACGUCGCCCUGCUUCCGUAAGAGAGCUGGGGGCCGCCGUCGUCACAGAGCUUGUGGAGCGCCAUCAUUGCCCAUCCGGCGGAGCUGGCCGGAUGGGACGUCGGUCUUGUUCUCCGUGACUCGAGUCGAUUCGGGGUAGGACGAUGAUGGCGCUUCCUGUUGACGUGGCGGGUCUGUGCCCUAGGCAGGGUGACGUGGGGGCUCCUCUGAAGCCGAGGUUGAGUCUGUCUUCUGUUGCCGAGGCCGAGUCCGAGCCAUGGGGUCGGGCGAGGCGGAGGUCGUUCGGCCGAGGCCAGGGCGGAGUCUGAGCCCUGGGGUCGGGCGGAGCGGAGUUCGCCGUCUUCCGGGUCUUAGCCCGAGUCCGAGCCCUGGGGUCGGGCGAGGCGGAGGUCGUUCGGCCGAGGCCAGGGCGGAGUCCGAGCCCUAGGGUCGGGCGAGGCGGAGUUUCGUCGUCUUCCGGGUCUUAGCCCGAGUCCGAGCCCUGGGGUCGGGCGGAGCGGAGUUCGCCGUCUUCCGGGUCUUAGCCCGAGUCCGAGCCCUGGGGUCGGGCGGAGCGGAGUUCGCCGUCUUCCGGGUCUUAGCCCGAGUCCGAGCCCUGGGGUCGGGCGGAGCGGAGUUCGCCGUCUUCCGGGUCUUAGCCCGAGUCCGAGCCCUGGGGUCGGGCGGAGCGGAGUUCGCCGUGGCGCCUUUGGCAAGGCCUGACUGUCUGUCAGACUCACUCUGUCGAGUGGCACCGCAGUCGGAGUGGCGCAGGCGGCGCUGUCCUUCUGUCAGACUGGUCAGUGGAGCGGUGGAGUGACGGCGGUCACGUCGGCUCUGCCGGGGGGGCGCGUGUCAGGAUAAAGGUGUCAGGCCACCUUUGCGUUAAAUGCUCCUGCAACUCGGUCAGUCGGUGUGGCGAUUUAGUCAGGGUUGCUUCUGAGCGAAGCCAAGGCCUCGGGCGAGCCGGUGAUGUGUCCGCCGUAAAAAGGGGGGCCUCGGGCGAGACGGAAGUCUCUCGAGGUCGGCUGCCCUUGGCCGAGGCUAGGCUCGGGUGAAGCGUGAUCGAGUCACUCGUGCGGACUGAUCCCUGACUUAAUCGUACCCAUCAGGCCUUUGCAGCUUUAUGCUGAUGGGGGUUACCAGCUGAGAAUUAGGCGUCUUGAGGGUACCCCUAAUUAUGGUCCCCGACAGUAACGUAGAAAGUAGCAAAUACGGCAAUUACCUAGGAUCUGUAAUGUCGACGUUUCCAGCUUGUUCUUCGUUUGAUAUCACAUCUUGUGGUACUGAUUGACUAUCAUCUCCUUGUCUAGUGUAUCCAUGGCCAUGCCCGGUCAUCGGUUGGCUAUGCACAGGCGUGGAGAAGCCAUUUCCGUCCACCAAUGGGGUGUGGCUACGCCCAGGCAAGACAAAUGCAGAGGAGACUAUGUCUGGCAGCCCUGCACAAAACGAACGUGCAAUUACUUGCAAGCGACGGUCAGCAACAGAUGCAAACCAAUUCGUCUGUUCUUGACGCCUUGAAGCUCCUACUAUCCGAGCAAACAUCUCCCAUGGGCAGAGCAGCCACCGGCGAACGGAGAGCAGCGGCAGCGCGACGUCCGACCGCUAGAUGCAAACCAUUGUCGGCAAUGGCGGAGCCCAAGGCGUCAAAUAGUAGGAGAUCGCGUGGAAGAAUCCAAACCUGCCGUCGUUGGUAGGGAGAAACCUAGGCCGCCAAGAUGGCCCGCCGCCAUGCGCGUUGCUGGGAUUCCGCGCCCGCCUCCAGCAAUCACAGGUCGGAUGCCUCCACGGACGGCAUCGUGGCCAUCACCGGCGAAUCCAUGGAGUUGCCCGGACGCGAUUUGGCCUUGCCCAUCUGCGUCGUUGCGUCGACUCGCCGCGCCCAUGGAUGCGCCCAGGUAUCCUUCAGGCGCGCCAUGGCCGAGUGCGGGUGCGGGCGCGAUUUGGCCUCGCCCGGCUGCGCCGUGGCCGCCAGUUGCUGCGCCGGCUCCUACGGCCGCGAUUUGGCCUUGCCCGUCUGCGUCGUUGCGUCUACUCGUCGCGCCCAUGGAUGCGCCCAGGUAUCCUUCAGGCGCGCCAUGACCGAGUGCGGGCGCGCUUUGGCCUCGCCCGGCUGCGCCGUGGCCGCCAGUUGCUGCGGCGGCGAUCCCUUGCCGGGGUCGUAAGGGAUUCAUGUUCUUCGUGAUAGGAUGCGUGCAGGCGUACGAAUCUCAGAUAGAGACGAGAUGGGAUCGGUGGGAGGGGGUUUUCACAAAAAAUACAGGAGCCAAAGCUGACCGAGCCACAUUUUUUGGCUUCACCUAUCUAGUACAAAACAGGGAAUUGCUUUCCACCUAAAGCCAUCUGAUAAAAGCGCGUUUGGUAUGGCUUGCGGGGAAAAGCGUGAAGCCAAAGGAGAAGCCGCUAGAUAUAAGCCCUGCCAAAGGGGGCCUUAGACACAUUCCCAGUUUCCAGUGUGUGGUCGAAACAACAAAAUGCAAAAAUAGCACAUCUUCGUUCUCAGAAGCAAGGUCAGGGUAUAACGCGUUCGGAGAAACUCAGGUUUGC